This 72-nucleotide antisense RNA is filed under the name Nocardia nova SH22a. RNAcentral's name for it is "ASpks TB sRNA". It matches the Rfam family "ASpks TB sRNA". Lineage: Bacteria; Bacillati; Actinomycetota; Actinomycetes; Mycobacteriales; Nocardiaceae. The record is from Rfam by way of RNAcentral.
UUUCACCGAGCCCAGCCACAGCGGAUCGCCCGUGCGCCGGCGGCCGUAGGUCGCCAUCAGCGCGUGCGCCUC